GGUUAAGCGACUAAGCGUACACGGUGGAUGCCCUGGCAGUCAGAGGCGAUGAAGGACGUGCUAAUCUGCGAUAAGCGUCGGUAAGGUGAUAUGAACCGUUAUAACCGGCGAUUUCCGAAUGGGGAAACCCAGUGUGUUUCGACACACUAUCAUUAACUGAAUCCAUAGGUUAAUGAGGCGAACCGGGGGAACUGAAACAUCUAAGUACCCCGAGGAAAAGAAAUCAACCGAGAUUCCCCCAGUAGCGGCGAGCGAACGGGGAGCAGCCCAGAGCCUGAAUCAGUGUGUGUGUUAGUGGAAGCGUCUGGAAAGGCGCGCGAUACAGGGUGACAGCCCCGUACACAAAAAUGCACAUAUUGUGAGCUCGAUGAGUAGGGCGGGACACGUGGUAUCCUGUCUGAAUAUGGGGGGACCAUCCUCCAAGGCUAAAUACUCCUGGCUGACCGAUAGUGAACCAGUACCGUGAGGGAAAGGCGAAAAGAACCCCGGCGAGGGGAGUGAAAAAGAACCUGAAACCGUGUACGUACAAGCAGUGGGAGCACGCUUAGGCGUGUGACUGCGUACCUUUUGUAUAAUGGGUCAGCGACUUAUAUUCUGUAGCAAGGUUAACCGAAUAGGGGAGCCGAAGGGAAACCGAGUCUUAACUGGGCGUUAAGUUGCAGGGUAUAGACCCGAAACCCGGUGAUCUAGCCAUGGGCAGGUUGAAGGUUGGGUAACACUAACUGGAGGACCGAACCGA
Molecule: ribosomal RNA, 739 nt
Filed under: Glaesserella parasuis
Lineage: Bacteria; Pseudomonadati; Pseudomonadota; Gammaproteobacteria; Pasteurellales; Pasteurellaceae
Description: partial 23S ribosomal RNA
Rfam family: Bacterial large subunit ribosomal RNA
Source: RNAcentral